Molecule: long non-coding RNA, 1329 nt
Organism: Belonocnema kinseyi
Lineage: Eukaryota; Metazoa; Arthropoda; Insecta; Hymenoptera; Cynipidae
Exons: 2
Source: RefSeq, a predicted model, not a curated record
UUAUGGUAAAUUUAUAAAUGAUGAAUUUUGUAAAUAUGAAUCAAAUAUAAAUAUGGAGCGAGACUAAAAAUUGAUGAUAUUUUGAAGGAUUGUUUAACUUUUUGAAAUGAAAAUUUUUUUAAAUCUAGGAUAAUUACGAAAAUUUAUGGUAAAUUUAUAAAUUUCCAGGAAGUUUGAAAAUAUGAGUCAAUCCCAAAUUUGGAGUAAUACUUCAAAUUAUUUCUCUUUGUUGAAACCGUUAUUAUGCUAAAUGAUCUUUUAAUGAAGGGUUUUCUAUGGACCCCGUUGAUAAUUUUUAAAACUCUGAAAAUUGUAAAGUUUAAUAAUAUUUGAAAUUUUUGAAAUUUAAGGAAAUUUAGUGUUCAAAAAUCUCCGGAAAUUUUCCGGAAAUCUGUCAAUGCAAUCAACUGUGAUCGCUUGACAUCUACACUAUAUACAGAUCCCUAAAAAAGUGUUGAAAUGAAGCAUGUGUUACAAAAAAACAAUUUGCAAUGUUCACAGGCAUCACAAAUUGAUUAUAGUAGUAUAUUGCUGUAGAUUUGACAGAUUCUACCAGUUGAGUGCUCGCAUGCGCAGAAAAAUGCGCGUUUCAAAUCCCGAAUCCCGGUAUGUGACCCAAGGUAUCCCGUCGGGAAUGGGAUAGUAACAGCUACAAUUCAACGGCCUGUCGUGCACGACGCCAAACGACCGGAAAAGUUACUAUGUGAAUUAUCGUAUGAUAUUAUCAUGAGUGUUUGUGUAUUUCCGAGUGUGCAUAACGAUAAGUUAGUCAAAUUGAUUCAAGCUCUGUAAGCAGAAAUAUUGUUUUUCGUAUGGUUCUGAAUGUGACAAUAGGAUUCUAACCUCAAAGUGCGCAUCACAACACAACAGAGUCCAGGAUAUUUUGGAGCAUAUCACAACGAGAAAAAUUUCGAGAAUGCUGCUGUAAAUUUGAAAAGAGGAAGAGGAAGGAAGAGUCAGGGACCCUAUAUUUGCUUCAAAUGCAAUCAAAUCUGGAAUCUGAAAGCUGCAUUUUUAAAACACCUGAGUUCAGAUUGCAUUCCUGAUUGGAAGAUUAGAGUUCCUAGAAGGGAGAGUAUGAACACUUCUUUUCAAAAGAAGUUUCAGUGCGAUGCGUGUCCUCGAAGUUACGUCAAUAAAAGACAUUUGUGUCGCCACAAACUUUAUGAAUGUGGCGAAAAGGAGCCAGGAUUUCCCUGCAUUUACUGUCAAUGCAAAUUUAAACGCAGAGAUCAGCUUAAUCGUCAUUAUACAACACACCAUCCUGACAUUUGUAUUUCUUAAAAUUAAGAACCAAGUUUUUCUCUUCAUGAUUAACUAAAAAAAAAA